GUGGCAAUCGUUGUGUGCAAAUACGGAACUGGUUUGACUAUCGUAAUCAUAUCUGUAUUGUUUUUGAGAAGCUUGGACCAAGCUUAUACGAUUUUCUUCGCAAAAACAAUUAUCGCUCAUUUCCCAUUGAUCUUGUCCGUGAGAUUGGAAGACAACUGUUGGAAUGUGUAGCAUUUAUGCAUGACUUGCGCCUGAUUCAUACUGAUUUGAAACCUGAGAACAUUCUUCUUGUUUCUGCUGAUUAUAUUAAAGUUCUUGAUUACAAGGGUUUGUCUCGAUCACAAAAGGAAA
Molecule: unclassified non-coding RNA, 291 nt
Filed under: Hevea brasiliensis (rubber tree)
Lineage: Eukaryota; Viridiplantae; Streptophyta; Magnoliopsida; Malpighiales; Euphorbiaceae
Source: RNAcentral